RNAcentral lists this transfer RNA (77 nucleotides) under Candidatus Alectryobacillus merdavium. Its description in RNAcentral is "tRNA-Met". It matches the Rfam family "tRNA". Rfam says of the family: Transfer RNA (tRNA) molecules are approximately 80 nucleotides in length. Lineage: Bacteria; Bacillati; Bacillota; Bacilli. The record is from RNAcentral.
UGCGGGGUGGAGUAGUCCGGUAGCUCGUCGGGCCCAUAACCCGGAGAUCGCAAGUUCAAAUCUUGCCCCCGCGACCA